UACGAAGGGGGCUAGCGUUGUUCGGAAUUACUGGGCGUAAAGGGUUCGUAGGUGGCCAACUCAGUCAGACGUGAAAUCCCUCAGCUCAACUGGGGAACUGCGUCUGAUACUAGAUGGCUCGAGUGCAGGAGAGGAACGCGGAAUUCCAGGUGUAGCGGUGAAAUGCGUAGAUAUCUGGAGGAACACCGGUGGCGAAGGCGGCGUUCUGGACUGCAACUGACACUGAGGAACGAAAGCCAGGGGAGCAAACGGG
RNAcentral lists this ribosomal RNA (253 nucleotides) under uncultured bacterium. RNAcentral's name for it is "partial 16S ribosomal RNA". It matches the Rfam family "Bacterial small subunit ribosomal RNA", at positions 524 to 776 of the family's 1533-position model. The record is from RNAcentral.